RNAcentral lists this ribosomal RNA (798 nucleotides) under uncultured bacterium. Its description in RNAcentral is "bacterial SSU rRNA". It matches the Rfam family "Bacterial small subunit ribosomal RNA", at positions 636 to 1434 of the family's 1533-position model. The record is from RNAcentral.
UNUGACUUGAGUGCAGAAGGGGAGAGUGGAAUUCCAUGUGUAGCGGUGAAAUGCGUAGAUAUAUGGAGGAACACCAGUGGCGAAAGCGGCUCUCUGGUCUGUCACUGACGCUGAGGCUCGAAAGCGUGGGUAGCGAACAGGAUUAGAUACCCUGGUAGUCCACGCCGUAAACGAUGAGUGCUAGGUGUUAGGCCCUUUCCGGGGCUUAGUGCCGGAGCUAACGCAAUAAGCACUCCGCCUGGGGAGUACGACCGCAAGGUUGAAACUCAAAGGAAUUGACGGGGGCCCGCACAAGCGGUGGAGCAUGUGGUUUAAUUCGUAGCAACGCGAAGAACCUUACCAGGUCUUGACAUCCCGAUGCUAUUCUUAGAGAUAGGAAGUUACUUCGGUACAUCGGAGACAGGUGGUGCAUGGUUGUCGUCAGCUCGUGUCGUGAGAUGUUGGGUUAAGUCCCGCAACGAGCGCAACCCUUAUUGUUAGUUGCCAUCAUUAAGUUGGGCACUCUAGCGAGACUGCCGGUAAUAAACCGGAGGAAGGUGGGGAUGACGUCAAAUCAUCAUGCCCCUUAUGACCUGGGCUACACACGUGCUACAAUGGUCGGUACAACGAGUUGCGAGCCGGUGACGGCAAGCUAAUCUCUGAAAGCCGAUCUCAGUUCGGAUUGGAGGCUGCAACUCGCCUCCAUGAAGUCGGAAUCGCUAGUAAUCGCGGAUCAGCACGCCGCGGUGAAUACGUUCCCGGGCCUUGUACACACCGCCCGUCAUACCACGAGAGUUUGUAACACCCGAAGUCGGUGAG